RNAcentral lists this ribosomal RNA (155 nucleotides) under uncultured bacterium. Its description in RNAcentral is "partial 16S ribosomal RNA". It matches the Rfam family "Bacterial small subunit ribosomal RNA", at positions 1346 to 1500 of the family's 1533-position model. The record is from RNAcentral.
AGGUCAGCAUACUGCCGUGAAUACGUUCCCGGGCCUUGUACACACCGCCCGUCACACCAUGAGAGUUGGGAAUACCCGAAGCCUGUGAGCUAACAUUUAUGAGGCAGCAGUCGAAGGUAGAAUCAAUGAUUGGGGUGAAGUCGUAACAAGGUAGC